GCCAGAAUGUUCCUUGCUGCAGAUGCAUUGGCCCCAUCUGCAGGUCCUCUUUGACACCUACCUUACUCUCUCCCUCCACUCACACUCUGAGAACUGUGCUCAGGGGCAGCGCUACAACUUCCACAUUGGUCUUUACAGGGCUUGAGUGAUUAUUUCAAGAACAGAACGCUGUGUGGAAACCUUUACCAUAUUUCGUUGUAUCUAAGACACAUUUUUUUUUUUUGAAAUUUAACAUCUCUAAGGUUGGGUUAUGUUUCUUCAUCAUUGUCAGGUUGGAGCUUAAUCAGCAGCACUUUUUUUUAAUGUCACACACAGUAAUGGUGAUGCAUCUCACAAUUGAGAUCAUCUUAGACAUGAUGGAAUAUGGAAUCGUGUGCCUGUUACAAGCCAGGCUCUUGUCUGGGUUCUAGAGACGGUGGAAACCAAGACAGCACCAUCCUCUAGUGGUGUUCACAUCCCACCACAGUGGAGUCAGGACUUUGAAGUCCUCCAUUGGAUCUUCUCGGAAGAUGAGGGAAAUGAGAGAGUGUGGAGAGAGAUUUUGUAAGUCCGGUCUGGAAGUGGUCAUUGUUCAGAAUCCAGCCACGUGGGUACAUGGAACUGUAAGGCUAUUUCAACAUGGGAAACUGAAAUCGGGCAUAUCCCUGCGGAAGAAGGUAUGUGAGACACCAACCAGAGUUCGUAAUUCUAAUGACCUCUCCAGAUUUAUGGCUGCAGCAUUCCCAAGAAGGGGUAGGGAGGGGCAUAUAAUGAGCUACCCUCAGGGGAUCAGAAAGAAAAGGGAAGCUGUCUCUUAGCGAAGAAUAAAACUGUGGACUGACCCCCACCCAUUUGCGAAGAAAGUACUGGGUCUUCAGCUUUCAUUGUUCAGCCGGUGGUCUUUGUGGACAACACCAGGGGCCCCUCCUGCUGAAGACUGUCUGGACUUCCUGAUUUUCACUCCUGUAUAAACCCCCUCCCCCAUUACUACCUUUGUCUCCUUGGGGAAAAAAAAUGUUUUUCACUUAAGCAAAAUAAUAACUACCCAGUAUUUGUUUCUGGAGUGAAAUUGUAAACUUCAUUGUACAUUCUUCCUGGCUUUGAUGCUUAUCGUGAAGAGUUCAGUGAAAAUAAAUUGUUUUUAUGAAAGCAGAGAAACCAUUUGAUAAACACGCUGUCUCUGAAAAUCGUUCCUGCAAAAGAGGUCAUUCUUUCACUUUAAAAGAAAUAGAAUAUAUUUCAGAAAACAGGCAGGACAACAUACAAAUUUUUUUUUAAGGC
Molecule: long non-coding RNA, 1260 nt
Filed under: Homo sapiens (human)
Lineage: Eukaryota; Metazoa; Chordata; Mammalia; Primates; Hominidae
Description: HSALNT0386068
Source: RNAcentral